UUGGGACUGAGACACGGCCCAAACUCCUACGGGAGGCAGCAGUGGGGAAUAUUGGGCAAUGGAGGAAACUCUGACCCAGCAACGCCGCGUGGAGGAAGAAGGUUUUCGGAUCGUAAACUCCUGUCCUUGGAGACGAGUAGAAGACGGUAUCCAAGGAGGAAGCCCCGGCUAACUACGUGCCAGCAGCCGCGGUAAUACGUAGGGGGCAAGCGUUGUCCGGAAUAAUUGGGCGUAAAGGGCGCGUAGGCGGCUCGGUAAGUCUGGAGUGAAAGUCCUGCUUUUAAGGUGGGAAUUGCUUUGGAUACUGUCGGGCUUGAGUGCAGGAGAGGUUAGUGGAAUUCCCAGUGUAGCGGUGAAAUGCGUAGAGAUUGGGAGGAACACCAGUGGCGAAGGCGACUAACUGGACUGUAACUGACGCUGAGGCGCGAAAGUGUGGGGAGCAAACAGGAUUAGAUACCCUGG
This 462-nucleotide ribosomal RNA is filed under the name uncultured bacterium. RNAcentral's name for it is "bacterial SSU rRNA". It matches the Rfam family "Bacterial small subunit ribosomal RNA", at positions 313 to 790 of the family's 1533-position model. The record is from RNAcentral.